AAUAUUGCACAAUGGGGGAAACCCUGAUGCAGCGACGCCGCGUGAGCGAAGAAGUAUUUCGGUACGUAAAGCUCUAUUAGCAGGGAAGAAAAUGACGGUACCUGUCUAAGAAUCUCCGGCUAACUACGUGCCAGCAGCCGCGGUAAUACGUAGGGGGCAAGCGUUAUCCGGAUUUACUGGGUGCAAAGGGAGCGUAGGUGGUUUGGUAAGUCAGAUGUGAAAGCCCGGGGCUCAACCCCGGAACUGCAUUUGAAACUAUCAAACUAGAGUGCAGGAGAGGUAAGUGGAAUUCCUAGUGUAGCGGUGAAAUGCGUAGAUAUUAGGAGGAACACCAGUGGCGAAGGCGGCUUACUGGACUGUAACUGACACUGAGGCUCGAAAGCGUGGGGAGCAAAC
RNAcentral lists this ribosomal RNA (396 nucleotides) under uncultured bacterium. RNAcentral's name for it is "partial 16S ribosomal RNA". It matches the Rfam family "Bacterial small subunit ribosomal RNA", at positions 360 to 773 of the family's 1533-position model. The record is from RNAcentral.